Molecule: small RNA, 129 nt
Filed under: Sinorhizobium meliloti 2011
Lineage: Bacteria; Pseudomonadati; Pseudomonadota; Alphaproteobacteria; Hyphomicrobiales; Rhizobiaceae
Description: putative ncRNA
Source: RNAcentral
GCAAUGCCGAAAGCAGGCGGUGCAGCGUAUCGAUGGUGGAAACGUCGGCGAUGCCGUCUACUCGCGAUUGUCGGAAAUGGCGCUGAAACGCGGCGACCACGCCUUCGGUUCUCGCGCAAAAAUCACCAG